GUCGAGUGUGCGCAUGCGCGUUUUAGGAUAACAGUUCCACAGAAGAUACCAUGGCAAAAGCAACGACUAUUAAAGAAGCUUUGGCGAAGUGGGAGGCGAAGUCAGGGGAAAAAGCAGCUGAUGCUAAAGAAGUGAAGCUCUAUGGCCAAAUCCCUCCUAUUGAAAAGAUGGAUGCGUCUCUCUCCACCCUGACUAACUGCGAGAAACUGUCAUUGUCAACGAACUGUAUUGAAAAAAUUGCCAACCUAAAUGCAUUAAAGAACCUCAAGAUAUUAUCCUUAAGUCGUAACAACAUCAAGAACCUUAAUGGACUAGACCCUGUAGGGGACACAUUGGAGGAGCUAUGGAUCUCCUACAACCUCAUAGAGAAGCUGAAGGGAAUCCAUGUGAUGAAGAAGCUCCGUGUCCUGUACAUGUCCAACAACUCGGUCAAAGAUUGGGGGGAGUUUAUGAAGCUGGCAGAAAUUUCAUCAUUGGUAGACCUGGUCUUUGUGGGCAAUCCUUUAGAAGAGAAGUACUCUGCUGAAGGUACCUGGAUAGAUGAGGCCACCAAGAGGGUCCCCAAUCUGAAGAAGCUUGAUGGGAUCCCAGUGAUUAGCCAAGAACAGGAGGAGAAGGAGGCAGAAAGUUAAGAUCUUCACUGGGUGGUAGUGAGGGGAGCAGACACAACAGUCUUGGUGGGUUUCCUCAGUUGGAUGAGCAAGGUGUUAUGUUCGCUGUGUUAUGAUUACUGUUAUGACCACUGGCGCAGAGACCAGCUUAAUGUUUGAGUACAGCACAUACUAGGUGAGCUAUCACACACAUUUCACAAAGUUAACAAAGUGCACACAUCUGUAAACCCCCCCCCCCCAUGUUCCUUCCAGGCCUCUGUAUAUUUGUGUGUAACACUUUAUUUUGCACAUUAUCCAUUUUUGGCUUUUAAUUAGAGACAAAGCACACAAUGACACUUCAUAACACAAAAUGCAUAUAAAUACAAACCACAACAAACUUCAGAAAUAUAAAUAUAACUGGGAGGGAGCAAGGAAUUUGUAUGUAUACAAAUUGUAAUUUUUUUGUAAAUUCAGCUACAAAUCUGUUAUAUAUCUCAGGAUUUUCAGCCUGGAUAUAGGUUGGUCACAUGGCGUUGCAUCCGCCUCAUUAGAUAUGCAAGACAUGAACUGGUGGUCAGCUAAGCUGACUGUUCGCAAAGCGUUACUAUCACUGGAGCGCGUUGUUAGUCGUUAAAAUGCCCUGUGUGUGCGCGUUGUUUUGCACUGCUCAAAUCGAACAAACCGUGAAACUGAUAAGUUUCGUCCGGGUUCCCCAUGAAGUAAUAAAGGGUGAAAGAGCAAAGGUGAUGAAAAGUGGCUCUUGAACCUUUUGCUGUGAUGGAAGGGAGCCAAGUCAAAGGACGCUCAAGUUUGCAGUGAUCACUUCAAUAAAUUCCUCUGAUUUAUUUUGUUUGGAUUCACAAAUGAAUUUUCUCACCAUUUUCCAUUAUCUCAUGAUGUUUUGAAGUUCAGGAGACUCUCAGAUCCUCAUGUGUUUUUGUUUUGUUUGAUCAUGGUCGCCAUAUUGUCAACCAAAGCUCAUGUUUUCACUUUAUUAGGAUGUCCUAGAAAUCUUUGAUAUGCAGCGUUUAUUUAUUGUCACUGCAUUUUUUUUUUUUUUUUGUUUAAAAAAAAAAAGUAUCGUUUGCUGGAAGAGGAGCAGGGAAGGGUGAGAAUCGAGCAGCUGUGGUUUGUUUACACCCAAUAUUAAAACUUAGUGUCUUAGCAACCACUGCAAAGACGUGCACAAAAAGCCCAAAAAUGCCUGCUUACCCCAGAUCUUUAACCCAGCCAUGUAUAAAAAGUUGUAUGUCUCUAUGCUCUUCCAUGUUUUUAUCUGUUUGUCCAUGUUGAACGAUGUCAGCAGCACCAGGUUGUUUGAGGUGUCGGGGAACUCAACAGAUGGGGAAUUUUCCAACUCGUAGGAAAAAUCCUUCUUUGAUAACGUGUCUGUCCCAUUGCAAAGAACAACUUUCUGAAGAACGUUGCCCCCUUCCGGAUACAAACCAUCAGUCUUCUGAUACGAAGUCUUCUGAUACGAACACUAUUUUUGCAAGAUUCAGAAUGACAUCCCAAAGAUGACGUCACCAUCGAACCGACGAUGUCUCAAUGAGUGGAGCUGUCGGGUGAAUCAGACUUGAGCCUUUUGGUUGAAUAAACAGGUUUAACCGUGAUAAUUUCUUUAAGUUAAAAAAAAAAACUUAAGAAGUGUUAUACUUUUAUCAUUGUGACAACCAGAAGUGAAUUAUGGGUAGCUCGUCUUGUGGCAGGAAUUUAAAAAAUUUACUGGGAAAUCUAUAGAGAUGGACCACCAAGUUCUGCUUAAUUUAAAUUGCUUCACAUCUCGAGACAAAUUUUGGAUAUGUUUCAAAUGAACUUCAAGCUUUAGAAGUACUUGGAGUUUGAAACAGCAAUAAGUUAAUUCUGUGUUUUUUAUUGCAAGAAAAGGUAAAUUCUUUGACAUUUUUUUAAUUACCCCUCCUCCCCUCACAGAAUUUAAUAUUAUGGGGACAAUUUAAUAUUCUAAUAUCAUAAAUAUAACUACUCUCAGAAGUAAGAAUUAAUAAUUCUUAGUAAUUAUAUGCAUUUUUUUUAAAUUUGCAAUAAAUUUUUUUAUUUAUACAUAGUAGGCUUUAAGGUUAGAAGCUUGUACCCUCCUUACACACUCAGGGAUGAUGGAACACAUUUUAAAUUGGAAGACUGGUAUGCAAAUUAGAGUGGGGAAAAAAAGAGGGGGCUAAGAUUAGAAAAUAUAAAAGACUCAGUAUGACACUCCUUACAACAUUUGAAUAAUCUACAACUCACAUGAGCAAGGAGGAAGGUUGGGAACGACCAUCACUGAACAGAGGUGGUGGUCUGAGACACCAUUUAUCAGCCACCUACAAUGCAGUCCUUGGCACACUUCCCAGAAAACUAAAUACACAUCCGCACCAAUACUCAGCUGAUGGCAGAGAGGGCCAGCGACCCACAGAUCACUCCAACGACCCUCUAGGCUGCUAACACCGUUCACACCCGGCCUCCAGCAACCAACAACCUACACGAUGGAUGUCAUGACCGAUAUGGAUCACAGAGACAUUCUGUAUAGUUUGUUAAACCUAUGUUGUGGAACCUAGAGAAUACAAUAAAAAAACAACAAUGCAAUGUCAGAUUGAUAGUAUUACAAAUAGUAAAAAAAAAAUUGACAUGGAAAUGGGAUAUGUUGACAAUACUUACUGCAGAAGUGAUUAAUAGGGGGGAAAUGAAAUGAAGACAAAAGAAAUGGAGAAAAUGUUAAGAAAAUAGUUUUUUUUUUUUUUUUUUUUUUUUUACCUUGCCCAGGACAGAGUCCACCAGGGGGCAAGGUGUGGUUUUUAGUGGGGUUUUUGUUAGCAACAUUAUGAGAAAAUGGCUGGACCAAUCUUCAUGAAACUUUCAGGAUAGAUUGGCAUUGGUCUCAAAUAGAACCUCCAACAUUUUGACGGUCAUCCGGUCAAGGUCACCAAAAAGGUUAAAAUCAUUUUUGGUGCAAAUGGUGUCCUGAAUGUGUCCCAAAUCACGCCCUACAUAUAUAGUAGAGUGUGAUUUGGGACACAUUGUGACUAUAUAAUCAGAUCGCCAUUUUGUAGUGCUGUCCGAAUGUAUAGCGAGUAUUAUUACAUUAUUAUAUAGUGCACUCAAAGUAUCUCGCAAUGCAUCAUGAAAGUAGUGCCACAGCAAAGUAGUUUUAUCAUUUAAUCAAUGAGCUCACUAUAUAGUCCUCCAUAGAGUAAGUCCCUAAAUAGUGAGUAGGGUGUAGUGAAUAUGAGUGAUUUAGGACACUGUUUGUAACCAAUCAGCACUUAUCCUGAUCAAGUUCAAUUACUCGUUCUAUUUCUUGAUGAACUUCUGAACUAAUCAGAACUAGAAACGAAAUAAGAGAAACCUCAUGAUAAUGUUGUAGUAUCGGAAGAUGAUCAGUAGAUAAAAAGAAACAAAAUUCACCUCGUGGUUCGCCAAGGCUACUGAUUCGAUGUCAAGUAAGUAGUGUUUAAGAAAAUUUACCUUUUGGUUAUCACAGCUCUUGUUUGGUCCUUCUGAAAAGUCAAAUAAAAAUUUUU
Neoarius graeffei (lesser salmon catfish) is the source of this 4105-nucleotide RNA transcript. It is a transcript of the gene named dynein axonemal light chain 1-like, with no coding region annotated. NCBI's taxonomy places the organism in Eukaryota, Metazoa, Chordata, Actinopteri, Siluriformes, Ariidae. The transcript has 10 exons. The record is from RefSeq and is a predicted model, not a curated record.